CCUACGGGUGGCUGCAGUGGGGAAUAUUGGACAAUGGGCGAAAGCCUGAUCCAGCCAUGCCGCGUGUGUGAAGAAGGCCUUCGGGUUGUAAAGCACUUUCAGUGGGGAAGAAAGCCUUGGGGCUAAUACCCUCGAGGAAGGACAUCACCCACAGAAGAAGCACCGGCUAACUCCGUGCCAGCAGCCGCGGUAAUACGGAGGGUGCGAGCGUUAAUCGGAAUUACUGGGCGUAAAGCGCGCGUAGGCGGUCUGAUAAGCCGGGUGUGAAAGCCCCGGGCUCAACCUGGGAACGGCAUCCGGAACUGUCAGGCUAGAGUGCAGGAGAGGAAGGUAGAAUUCCCGGUGUAGCGGUGAAAUGCGUAGAGAUCGGGAGGAAUACCAGUGGCGAAGGCGGCCUUCUGGACUGACACUGACGCUGAGGUGCGAAAGCGUGGGUAGCAAACAGGAUUAGAUACCCUUGUAGUC
This 465-nucleotide ribosomal RNA is filed under the name Vreelandella stevensii. Its description in RNAcentral is "partial 16S ribosomal RNA". It matches the Rfam family "Bacterial small subunit ribosomal RNA", at positions 338 to 795 of the family's 1533-position model. Lineage: Bacteria; Pseudomonadati; Pseudomonadota; Gammaproteobacteria; Oceanospirillales; Halomonadaceae. The record is from RNAcentral.